UACAAGGUUUGGUCCUGGCCUUAGUGUUAAUUGUAACUAGAAUUAUACAUGCAAGUUUCAGCCCUCCUGUGAGAAUGCCCUAAUUAAUCUAUUAAAUAAUUAGGAGCAGGUAUCAGGCACACGCACGUAGCCCAAGACACCUUGCUAAGCCACACCCCCAAGGGAUUUCAGCAGUAAUAAACAUUAAUUCAUGAGCGAAAGCUUGAAUUAGUUAAAGUCGACAGAGUUGGUUAAUCUCGUGCCAGCCACCGCGGUUAUACGAGUAACUCAUAUUAACACACCCCGGCGUAAAGAGUGGUUUAAGAAUGACCUUUAAAUAACUAAAGUUUAGACCUCAUAAAGCUGUUAUACGCACCCAUGAGUGGAAUAAUCAACAACGAAAGUGACUUUACAUAUUAAGGAGCCUUGAUGCCACGAUAGUUGAGACCCAAACUAGGAUUAGAUACCCUACUAUGCCCAACCAUAAACUUAGACAAUACUUCACCAUAUUGUUCGCCAGAGUACUACAAGCGCUAGCUUAAAACCCAAAGGACUUGGCGGUAUCCCACACCCAC
This 554-nucleotide ribosomal RNA is filed under the name Mustelus asterias (starry smooth-hound). Its description in RNAcentral is "partial small subunit ribosomal RNA". It matches the Rfam family "Bacterial small subunit ribosomal RNA", at positions 8 to 930 of the family's 1533-position model. Lineage: Eukaryota; Metazoa; Chordata; Chondrichthyes; Carcharhiniformes; Triakidae. The record is from RNAcentral.